UUAGGUCUGAUCGAUUGAAAUCGCAUCAUGUACAACGUGAAUAUAAAAAGGAGUAUGUGUGUGAUCAAUGCGGGAAAUGUUUCAGUUCGUACUAUUUAAAACGGCAACAUGCACAACGUGAACAUAAAAAGGAGUAUCAUGUGUGUGAUCAGUGCGGGAAAUGUUUUAGUUCGUACUAUUUAAAACGGCAACAUGCACAACGUAAACAUAAAAAGGAGUAUGUGUGUGAUCAGUGCGAAAAAUG
Wasmannia auropunctata (little fire ant) is the source of this 244-nucleotide long non-coding RNA. RefSeq lists it as uncharacterized. The record is from RefSeq and is a predicted model, not a curated record. The transcript is spliced from 3 exons. NCBI's taxonomy places the organism in Eukaryota, Metazoa, Arthropoda, Insecta, Hymenoptera, Formicidae.